This 94-nucleotide transfer RNA is filed under the name uncultured Desulfobacteraceae bacterium. RNAcentral describes it as "tRNA-Ser". It matches the Rfam family "tRNA". Rfam says of the family: Transfer RNA (tRNA) molecules are approximately 80 nucleotides in length. Their secondary structure includes four short double-helical elements and three loops (D, anti-codon, and T loops). Further hydrogen bonds mediate the characteristic L-shaped molecular structure. tRNAs have two regions of fundamental functional importance: the anti-codon, which is responsible for specific mRNA codon recognition, and the 3' end, to which the tRNAs corresponding amino acid is attached (by aminoacyl-tRNA synthetases). tRNAs cope with the degeneracy of the genetic code in two manners: having more than one tRNA (with a specific anti-codon) for a particular amino acid; and 'wobble' base-pairing, i.e. permitting non-standard base-pairing at the 3rd anti-codon position. The record is from RNAcentral. Lineage: Bacteria; Pseudomonadati; Thermodesulfobacteriota; Desulfobacteria; Desulfobacterales; Desulfobacteraceae.
GGAGAGAUGUCCGAGCUGGCUGAAGGAGCACGACUGGAAAUCGUGUGCGUUGCCACAAGCGGCGCCGAGGGUUCGAAUCCCUCUCUCUCCGCCA